RNAcentral lists this transfer RNA (74 nucleotides) under Podarcis lilfordi (Lilford's wall lizard). RNAcentral's name for it is "tRNA.Val". Lineage: Eukaryota; Metazoa; Chordata; Lepidosauria; Squamata; Lacertidae. The record is from RNAcentral.
GCUCAAAUAGCUCAGUUGGUUUGGGUGUGGUGCUGACAACACCAAGGUUGCAGGUUUGAUCCCCAUAAGGGACA